This 253-nucleotide ribosomal RNA is filed under the name uncultured bacterium. RNAcentral describes it as "partial 16S ribosomal RNA". It matches the Rfam family "Bacterial small subunit ribosomal RNA", at positions 524 to 776 of the family's 1533-position model. The record is from RNAcentral.
UACGGAGGAUGCAAGCGUUAUCCGGAAUGAUUGGGCGUAAAGCGUCCGCAGGUGGCUGUGUAAGUCUGCUGUCAAAGAGCAAAGCUCAACUUUGAAAAGGCAGUGGAAACUACACGGCUAGAGUGCGUUCGGGGCAGAGGGAAUUCCUGGUGUAGCGGUGAAAUGCGUAGAGAUCAGGAAGAACACCGGUGGCGAAGGCGCUCUGCUAGGCCGCAACUGACACUGAGGGACGAAAGCUAGGGGAGCGAAUGGG